Molecule: transfer RNA, 74 nt
Filed under: Bacteroidota bacterium
Lineage: Bacteria; Pseudomonadati; Bacteroidota
Also listed under: 2 other names
Description: Bacteroidetes bacterium (activated sludge metagenome) tRNA-Met
Rfam family: tRNA
About the family: Transfer RNA (tRNA) molecules are approximately 80 nucleotides in length. Their secondary structure includes four short double-helical elements and three loops (D, anti-codon, and T loops).
Source: RNAcentral
CGCAGGGUGGAGCAGUUGGUUAGCUCGCUGGAUUCAUAAUCCAGAGGUCGCGGGUUCGAGUCCUGCUCCUGCUA